CAGCAGCCGCGGUAAUACGAGGGGGGCAAGCGUUGUUCGGAAUUAUUGGGCGUAAAGCGCACGUAGGCGGAUCGAUCAGUCAGGGGUGAAAUCCCAGAGCUCAACUCUGGAACUGCCUUUGAUACUGUCGAUCUGGAGUAUGGAAGAGGUGAGUGGAAUUCCGAGUGUAGAGGUGAAAUUCGUAGAUAUUCGGAGGAACACCAGUGGCGAAGGCGGCUCACUAGUCCAUUACUGACGCUGAGGUGCGAAAGCGUGGGGAGCAAACAGGAUUAGAUACCCCUGUAGUCCCUGUCUCUUAUAC
This 301-nucleotide ribosomal RNA is filed under the name uncultured bacterium. Its description in RNAcentral is "partial 16S ribosomal RNA". It matches the Rfam family "Bacterial small subunit ribosomal RNA", at positions 509 to 807 of the family's 1533-position model. The record is from RNAcentral.